GUAGGUGGCAAGCGUUAUCCGGAAUUAUUGGGCGUAAAGCGCGCGCAGGCGGUUUCUUAAGUCUGAUGUGAAAGCCCACGGCUCAACCGUGGAGGGUCAUUGGAAACUGGGGAACUUGAGUGCAGAAGAGAAAAGCGGAAUUCCACGUGUAGCGGUGAAAUGCGUAGAGAUGUCCCCCCCCGGAGGAACACCAGUGGCGGAGGCGGCUUUUUGGUCUGUAACUGACGCUGAGGCGCGAAAGCGUGGGGAGCAAACAGGGAUUAGAUACCCUGGUAGUCCACGCCGUAAACGAUGAGUGCUAAGUGUUAGAGGGUUUCCGCCCCUUUAGUGCUGCAGCUAACGCAUUAAGCACUCCGCCUGGGAGUACGGUCGCAAGACUG
Molecule: ribosomal RNA, 380 nt
Filed under: uncultured organism
Description: partial 16S ribosomal RNA
Rfam family: Bacterial small subunit ribosomal RNA
Source: RNAcentral